Molecule: long non-coding RNA, 1659 nt
Filed under: Gallus gallus (chicken)
Lineage: Eukaryota; Metazoa; Chordata; Aves; Galliformes; Phasianidae
Source: RNAcentral
GUUAGCUUUCUCCGCCAGCUCCACCCUCAGUCUUUCGCCUUCUGUGACCUUAGCAGUCAGUUCUUGUACCUGAGCAUCAAGCUUCUUCCUCUUAUGCUCAGACUCUGCCUUGACCUGCUGCAACACCUUCACUUCACAGGCCAACUCCUUGUUGUCAGACUCCAGGCCUUGCUUGUUUUUUUCAAGGUUUGCUUUGAACCUUUUGGCCUGUUCAAGUUGUUCAGAGAGCUCUUCCAGGGCAGUAGCAUGCCUCUGCCUGAUCUCCUGGAUCUGUGCUUCAUGGUUCUUGGUUUCCUCUUCAAUUGCUUUCUUCAGCUCAGCCACUUCCUGCUCACGUUUUGUCCUCAGCUCUUGCUGUGCUGCAGUGGUAUCCAAGGUAUCUUCCAGUUCAGUUUUUAAAGCCUCCAACUCUUCACUUAAAUCUCUUUUCUGCUUCUCUGCCUUGUUGCGUGAUGCCUUCUCAGAUUCAAGAUCCUCCUGCAGUUCUGCAAUUUGGGCCUGCAACUCUCUUAUCACUUUAAGUGCAUUGUUUUUCUGAACUGCUUCUUCAUCACCUCUUGCAAGAGCAGCCUGCAGCUCUUCCUCCUUCUUGGCCAGCUGGAUCUUCAGCUCUUCAAUCUGGGCCUGCAGCUCAGCUAUUUGGUCCUGUAGAUCUGUUGUUUCACCAUCCAGUUUUCUCUUAGCUUUUUCUAAUUCCUGACGUGUCUUCUCCUCCUUUUUUAAGCGCUCUUCUAAAUCAGUGAUCAUCAUUUCCUGUUUGUUCUUCAGUUUCGCCAAAUUUUUAGCCUUUUCUUCUUCUUCAGCCAGCUGAGAAGUACAUUCAGCAAUUCUAUCCUCCAUCAGCUUCUUUUCCUUCAAAAAUUUGGAAUUUUGGUCCUCCAACAGUAGGAUCUCUUCUUCCAUCUUCUUGAUCUUAGCUUCAGCUGUCACUUUUUCAAGCUGCAGCUUCUGUCUGGCUCCCUCCUCCUCAUCCAGCUGCUCCUCCAGGUCCUGAAUGUGGCCCUGCAUUUUCUUUUUCUCAUUCUGCAAUAUUUGAUUUCUUUCCUCCUCCUCCUCAACCCUGGAUUCCAAGUCAUGGAGAAUUUCUUCCAACUCUUGUUUUUUGGCAGCCAAGCGAGCCCUCAUCUCCUCAGCUUCUGCAAAGAGCUCUGUCUCAGCCUGUAGCUGCUCUGCAAGAAUGUUCUUCUCUUCUAGGAGCUGUUGAUGUUUCCUUUCCAUUUCCUCAAGUUCUGCUUCCACUUUUGUCUGUUUUUCUUUAACCUUCAUUAGUUCUUCAUCCUUGGCUUGAAGUUCCUCUUCCUGGCGAGUCACCUGAAGAAGAGGCUUCACCUUUGUGAAGACCCUCCACCACUGCCAGUGCCUAAGCUUUAAAUAUGCAGCACAAUUCCUCUGCAGGAUUUUCAGUGCACUCAGUUGCUGUUGUUUCUUUGCAAAGGCCUUUCUGGCCAGGUAUCCUCUGCAGACUGCCUGGAAGAAGAUGAUAAUAUCUGUGAUCUUCAGGUCUCGUUCUUCCUCUAAGUGUGCCAAGACACCAGCUCGGAAAAAGAUCUUGCUCUGUCCAAUUCUGUAUAAGUUGGGGUCCAGCUCCAAGGCUCUGAUCAUGCGCUCACAGGCUUGCUUGCCAUCCAUAAAACCUUUUGGAAUUGCAUUGGGAGUAAG